RNAcentral lists this ribosomal RNA (253 nucleotides) under uncultured bacterium. RNAcentral's name for it is "partial 16S ribosomal RNA". It matches the Rfam family "Bacterial small subunit ribosomal RNA", at positions 524 to 776 of the family's 1533-position model. The record is from RNAcentral.
UACGAAGGGGGCUAGCGUUGUUCGGAAUUACUGGGCGUAAAGCGCACGUAGGCGGGUUGUUAAGUCAGGGGUGAAAUCCUGGAGCUCAACUCCAGAACUGCCUUUGAUACUGGCAACCUAGAGACUGGAAGAGGUUAGUGGAAUUCCCAGUGUAGAGGCGAAAUUCGUAGAUAUUGGGAAGAACACCUGUGGCGAAAGCGGCUCACUGGACCACAACUGACGCUGAGGCGCGAAAGCUAGGGGAGCAAACAGG